Molecule: long non-coding RNA, 834 nt
Filed under: Homo sapiens (human)
Lineage: Eukaryota; Metazoa; Chordata; Mammalia; Primates; Hominidae
Description: non-protein coding lnc-PLCD3-4:2
Source: RNAcentral
CGAGAAGCUCGGCGGCCAUCGCCGCCAUUUUGGGCUGGGAGGAGGCAGCGGAGGGACUCGCUGCGCAGUGAGAGCACCCCGUGGGGGGUGGUCCGGGCGCGGGGAGAGGCCGGGCCGAGUGGGCUACCUGAAGUGGCGGCGCCGGGAGACGGCGGGAAGUGGGACCGGGGGCCAGGGAGGGUGAAGGUUGGAGUCUCCUCGGCCGAGCCCGGUCCUCAAACCGUCCCGGCAGCCCCGCAGCCUCGCCUCUCACAGAGUGCGGGGUUCUUCGGUAAUUACCGCGUGUUUCCCGAGACCCCAGAAGGGGAGAGGCUGGUGAAACGGCUUCCCUCUGCGGUCUUUCCACAGGGGCGCGGAUCCUGAGGCCGAGCUCUGCCAGCUUCCCUCCCCACCCCCAUUCGGCCUGGGUAUGGCGGCGAGGCCCCGCACAGAGGGACUCCCACUUCGACUGGAGAGGUGGGGGCGACGCCAGAUUCCAGAGGCUGGCGCCGCGGGGGAGGGCGGAGGUCGCAGGUCUGGCCACAAGUCGGCGUGGCAGUCAGCUGGAGGCUCCGAGAGCGGAGAUCCCAGUGCACCCACCUUACCUCGCUUACACCAAAGCGCCAUCUCGCCGCCCGGGUUGCGAAAAACCACGACCCUCUUAAACUACUGUAGCAACCACUAAUUCCCCCUGGGAGCAGCUAGAGAGGGGCACUUGGAAACCUUCACGAGCUCGGUGCCUGAAGGUCUCUGAGGCUCUUGCCCUCAAGAUCUCUCCCAUUCAGCCCCGAUUCUCCGGACAACCUGACCUAGCAUGUCGCCAGCCUCUUGGUGAAACGCCUAAAGUGUGCUGCC